RNAcentral lists this ribosomal RNA (200 nucleotides) under uncultured bacterium. Its description in RNAcentral is "partial 16S ribosomal RNA". It matches the Rfam family "Bacterial small subunit ribosomal RNA", at positions 28 to 242 of the family's 1533-position model. The record is from RNAcentral.
GACGAACGCUGGCGGCGUGCUUAACACAUGCAAGUCGAACGAGAAAGUGGAGCAAUCCAUGAGUAGAGUGGCGACCGGGUGAGUAACACGUGACUAACCUACCUCCGAGUGGGGAAUAACUCCGGGAAACCGGGGCUAAUACCGCAUAACAUCGCAAGAUCAAAGCAGCAAUGCGCUUGGAGAGGGGGUCGCGGCUGAUU